UGGGACUACUGGGGUUUCUAAUCCUGUUUGCUCCCCACGCUUUCGCGCCUCAGCGUCAGGUACGGGCCAGGAAGCCGCCUUCGCCACCGGUGUUCCUCUCGAUAUCUACAGAUUUCACCCCUACACCGAGAGUUCCACUUCCCUCUCCCGCCCUCAAGCGAGGUAGUUUCGAGCGCCGUUCCUCAGUUAAGCUGAGGUAUUUCACACUCGACUUGCCAAGCCGCCUGCGCGCCCUUUACGCCCAGUAAUUCCGAACAACACUCGCCCCCUCCGUAUUACCGCGGCGGCUGGCACU
RNAcentral lists this unclassified non-coding RNA (295 nucleotides) under uncultured Myxococcales bacterium. RNAcentral's name for it is "contains 16S-23S intergenic spacer region". The record is from RNAcentral. Lineage: Bacteria; Pseudomonadati; Myxococcota; Myxococcia; Myxococcales.